UACGGGGGGGGCGAGCGUUAUCCGGAAUGAUUGGGCGUAAAGCGUCCGCAGGUGGCAGUUCAAGUCUGCUGUCAAAGACCGGGGCUUAACUUCGGAAAGGCAGUGGAAACUGAACAGCUAGAGUAUGGUAGGGGCAGAGGGAAUUCCUGGUGUAGCGGUGAAAUGCGUAGAGAUCAGGAAGAACAUCGGUGGCGAAGGCGCUCUGCUGGACCAUAACUGACACUCAGGGACGAAAGCUAGGGGAGCGAAUGGG
RNAcentral lists this ribosomal RNA (253 nucleotides) under uncultured bacterium. RNAcentral's name for it is "partial 16S ribosomal RNA". It matches the Rfam family "Bacterial small subunit ribosomal RNA", at positions 524 to 776 of the family's 1533-position model. The record is from RNAcentral.